This 253-nucleotide ribosomal RNA is filed under the name uncultured bacterium. Its description in RNAcentral is "partial small subunit ribosomal RNA". It matches the Rfam family "Bacterial small subunit ribosomal RNA", at positions 26 to 285 of the family's 1533-position model. The record is from RNAcentral.
AGGACGAGCGCUGGCGGCGUGCUUAACACAUGCAAGUCGAGCGGAAAGGCCCUUCGGGGUACUCGAGCGGCGAACGGGUGAGUAACACGUGAGUAAUCUGCCCCUAGCUCUGGGAUAGCUCCGGGAAACCGGGAUUAAUACCGGAUAUGACCACUUUAGACAUCUGUUGUGGUGGAAAGAAUUUCGGCUAGGGAUGAGCUCGCGGCCUAUCAGCUUGUUGGUGGGUAACGGCCUACCAAGGCGACGACGGGUA